GAAUAUUAUAUAUUGUAUAUUACAGAACGAGCCAGAAGGAGAAAUGGGAGUGUCAAAAUCCACCAAGUAAAUCAUAACAAAGUAGAUGGCAACUAAAUUGCAUUCCAGAGAAGUUUCUCGAUUUGCAAGUGGACGAAACGCUAGUUCCAAAGGGUGUUGGCUUAAGGCUCAGUCAAGAGGAAAUCGAUCGCCUAUAGAGUUCCCAGGAUGGAGGGCACCCUUAGGAUCCUUGAGUUGCAGGGGUCGAAACAUUCCCAAAGGAGUCCUAACGCAGUAUAUUCAUAGGAACGUAUAUCAGGCCCAUACGUAUGCCGACGCGCAAACGCGCAUAUACCUGGACAGCUGCAAACCGAUGCAUCCAGACACAUAAUCCGUAAGGAUAUCUCAAAUGUACAAUGCUGAGAUGGUUUCUAUGAAAGUUGAUAUAAAUUCCGAUCUAGUUUUUCUUAUUUUAAUAUUGUUUCUCAUCCCAUGUAUUCGAAAGGCGGGAAUAAACGAAAGUGGC
This 505-nucleotide unclassified non-coding RNA is filed under the name Bombus terrestris (buff-tailed bumblebee). Its description in RNAcentral is "misc RNA ENSBTSG00005036526.1". The record is from RNAcentral. Lineage: Eukaryota; Metazoa; Arthropoda; Insecta; Hymenoptera; Apidae.